GGUAACUUUACAGCCACGUUUUAGCAUCAAACAUCCUCCAAAUCCGGGCUAUGAUAGCUUAUUUUGAAGAUCAGUACGUACUGAACACAUCUCCAGAAGGCCACGAACCUAUCCGAAAUCAUCUUAGGCUCCAAAAAUGCAAUUCAAGCCCAAAACGUCACUAUUCCAGCACUGCGUAUCGCUGCCUUAUUUUAUUACCAGAAAAUAACCGCUUGGUGGAAAAAUCUGAUAUUUUGAUACAAUCAAGCCAAGUGACUCACGAAUGUCCUCCAACUGGAUUUACUCUAAAAUUCGUCCAUUUGACCACAUUUUGCACCAGAGGAAGUCGAAAGUCCUAUAUUAGAAAUACAAUUCAAAGUAUCAAAAUUCUUCUAAAAUAUUAACCAAAAUAUGCUAAGAAUAGGGUUAAAUAUAUAAUAUAAAAUCUAUUCAUCAGAGUUCAACAUGUUUCUUAUUCUACAUAAUCAAUCUGGUUUCAACUCUUCUCUUUCAGUAUGCAAAAUCUUGACAAGUCUAAUUUCUAUUACAGUUAUUUAAAUUUUGAGUUUCUUCCUGUUAUCAUGAUCUUAUAUUAUUCCAAUUAAUUGUCGGAGUCAUGACAUUUUCUGUAUAAGAAAUAACACAAAGAAGAAGAAUUUGUGACCGUCUUUUGUCUUUGAGUUCGGUUUUAUAUAAUUUGAUCAUUUUGUACCAGAUGAGCUGUAAUUUAAUUAUAUAAGAAGCUGAGUUAUAGUUCUGGUAGCAGUGUACCGAUAAUUUGACAUAUUAAACUGAGUUUGUUUCUAUCUCAGAUAAUAAUCUACUAUUAUUCCUUUCUUUUUGACAAUCCUAAUUCAAUGUUAACUAUUUUCCCUGAAAUGUUUCAUACUUACACAAUUGGAAUUAUUUUUAUUAAAUUAGGAUAAAACGUCAAUUCUAUUAAUAUGUACAUAUGUAUUUUUACUCUUGAAUUAAACUAAGUUUGUUUUCAUAUUAUCAAACUACAUACAUAUUCAUAUAUUCAUCUUCUUCAGUCAUGCUUGAUAAUGCUUAAAUUCGAUUUGUAUUCAUGUCUUUAUGUCUGUACAUACUUGAUAAUACCAUUCUUGUCAGGUAUACAUGAAAUUGAUUAGAGUAUCAUUGAGAGAGAUCAGAGGGUAAUUGAUCGUAUACGAAGAAACCAUGGUACUCGUGUUAUGGGACAUUAUUGUGCUAUAGCUUUGAAAUUCACGUAGGGGGUUGUGGGAGAUCUUCUUACUUAUUUAUAAUUAUGUAUUAAUAAUAUAUCUGGAUGUUGUUUAAAAUAUUAUUUGGAUAUGAUUGUCAAUUCCGAAUGCGGAUUGGAUUCCAAUGAUUUUUUCUUAAUGAUUACUUAGUUAUGUUUGUUAUGUGAAAAAUGAAAUUGAUACUUGUAGACUAAUGUGUUGGAAAUGGUGGUUGGAUUAUUUGAGAAGGGGAGAUUGGAAUUUUGGUAGUGGCUAAGAUCUUUUGUGUAGUUGAGCCCGAUUCUUCUACUCUAAUAGGCUUAAAACUUGAGUAGAACUACUUAGCCAAAAAAAGAAAAUAUGAAGAAAAAUCCAGCAAGAUUAAAGAUAAAUUCAAACACAGCCCAAGUCCCGUGACUUGGGCAAAGUAUUCAAUUUUUGGAAGGGACAAGCUCCUUUCCAGGCAGAAAAUUGUAUGCAAAACACUGAAAAGUAAAAUCGAGGAUUGCACUUCAGAGAUGGUUAUAUAAUCAACACUCUCGUCCUUGUCCCUAAUAGACUGGUGGCCCAAUGGUAAAUGACGGAUUAUGAAGCUUCCUUAAAACUAAAAACUGAAGGUCUCAGGUUUGAAACCCGUUGCUGGUGUGGAAGCCAGACUUAUGGUCAGAAGGAGGCUGAAAUGCUUUUAUGAGUCUUCUCGGCCCCCGGAGGGAUGGAUAACCGUAGCUUGCCACCAGUUGUCCUCCUUUUUUAAAAAAUAAAAUAAAAUAAAAUAGACAGGCCUUUGGAGGCAACUAAGGUGUAAAAUAUCGAUGAUAUCGGAAAUAUCGGUAGUCCAAAAACACGGAAAUUUCAAUGGAAAUAUCGGGAUAUUAUCGAUAUCGAUAAAAAUUGAAUAAAAACCAUGGAAAUUGUAAGAAAAACUUGGAAAUUUUUAUUGAAACUUUGCAGGAUGUUUAUUUAGUCAAUUAUCCAUUAGGUUAUCACAAAAAAUUGGAAGGAAAUGCAUUGCAUGAUGGAUUUAACUGAUUUAAGUUGAUUAUAUAGCGAGCUGGCAAACAUUGUGAGUGUAGAAAAUAUGUAGUAAUUAAUGAAAGAAGUUUAAACACACCAUAAUCAUUUAUAUAUAAUGAAUUAGUACAAUAUUUUACACUUUAUACAUUGCAUGGUAAGAUUCAUUAGUGACUUAGCAAGGUCUAAAAUAUCGAUGAUAUCAGAAAUAUCGGUAGUCCAAAAACACAGAAAUUUCGAUGGAAAUAUCGGGAUAUUAUGGAUAUUUUAGACCAUGGAGGCAACCUCGGGGUUAGCGAAAUGUGUCACUUUAGUCGCUCUCGGAGUCGGUACCUGAUACAACUUCUUCAGACGCAUCGUCUGAAAGCACUUCCAGCUUGCUCUUUAGCUCGGUGGACAAGGAACAUUUGCAACCCAAUCCCCUCCCAAACUAGCUCU
Molecule: long non-coding RNA, 2633 nt
Filed under: Malus domestica (apple)
Lineage: Eukaryota; Viridiplantae; Streptophyta; Magnoliopsida; Rosales; Rosaceae
Description: long non-coding RNA (MDOM_LNC002914)
Source: RNAcentral